This is an RNA transcript of Hemicordylus capensis (graceful crag lizard), 5181 nucleotides long. It is a transcript of the gene named cytidine and dCMP deaminase domain-containing protein 1-like, with no coding region annotated. The transcript has 9 exons. NCBI's taxonomy places the organism in Eukaryota, Metazoa, Chordata, Lepidosauria, Squamata, Cordylidae. The record is from RefSeq and is a predicted model, not a curated record.
CGCCGCCAUCUUUGCUACGGAAAGGCGCAAAGUACGUUGGAUUGAGGCGGAGAGACCCAGCCAAUGAGCGGCCUCUAGAGUAGGAGGGGUUCCGGAUGUUGAGGAACUACAAACUUCCGUCACCCCCAGCUCCAAUUUAUUGUGGUUCCGGAAGAUGGGAGUUGUAUUUCAUCAGCCUCUGGAGUACCACUGAUUGGGAAGCCCUGAUAGACUACAACUCCCAUCAGCAGCAGCCCCUUCCCCUUUUAAAUCUUAGGAAGCGUUACAAAACCUUUAUUAGCACCACCAACCGAAGGGAUAUUCCGUCUUAAGCUUUCAAGUGCUCCAGAAGUUAUAAUGAGGCUGGAUGUUAUACACCUCUAAAAGGGUGCCGUGAAAUGGGGUGCUUGGGUGUAGGGAGGGAAGCCUUGAGUUUGCGGCUUAUAAGGAGCCGAGACGGAGCUAAGCAGACGAGCUGAUCAACCCUACGAGAUGUUACUGAUCGCUCUUGGAGGAAGAGGGAACGUCGCUUCCCCUCCAGUUUUCCGCCCAUAACUGGCCCUUUUGUUUGGGGCAGUCUUUCCUGAUCCCUCGCUGUUCACUUCCGAACACACAGCUGCUAGGCUUGAGUGCCCAGGCUAAUUAUAAUAUAAUUAAUAUAAUAAACUUUAUUUGUCGCCCCAUAACAGAUUGUUCUCUGGGCGGCUAGCCAACCUAUCCACGUCUUCUCCCUGUUUUGGCCUUUUGACCGCAAUGAGUCUACUGCUGCUACUAAAUCGUAAUUGCAGUAGGAUUAUCUUUGUUCUUUUCCUACCCAGUACAUCAUCCCUCUUUCCGCCACUCCCCCUUUGUCAUAUGAGGCGAGAGGCACAGGGUGGUGUGGGAAGCUCAGGGAGAAAAAGGCUCCCUGUGUCACCGUCAGAUCUCCCUUUUAAACAGAUUGGAUGACAUACACAGUUAUUAGCCCACAGAGCUAAUCUCCUCUUUGAUUUAUUGUUCUCCUGAAUAGAGAAUAGCUAGACACUCCUAGGAACCCUGAAACGCUCCUCCAGAUAUAGAAACCAGCCCAUCUGAUUUAUAGCUGCUUCCUUCAUAGACACAAGGAAAUCGUUAUGUACUAGCUUAACCCGCACAGAGCAUCUGUGCGUUAGUACUUGAUUGCUCCCCUCACCCCCUGCCACAGCCCCCUUCACCUCAGAGAUCUCUCCACCCUCACCUGAGCCACACUCCUGCUCCUCCUCCUACAUCCCAUUGCUUCCACCCUCCUCACCCCUCUUGGUCACCCCUCCAUCCCUUUACUCCAUCCUCCUCACCCCGCUUGCAGCAUGGCUGGUGCCUGUUGGCCAAGCUGCAGCCCCCGCUCCUAUCCCCAGAGACCUCCCCACACGAGCCCCGCUUCUGCUCCUCCCCACAGGAGCAGCAGCAGCAGUUGACUGGGCUCUUCCUUGCUGCCACCACCGCCAUGGCCACUUGUUCCCCUCAGACUGCUGACAGGCCUGGGCCCAUCCCUUGCCUGCCUCCUUCUGCCAAUGGCCUCUGUAGCCCCAAACAGCAGAAGUGGUUGACUGGGCCCUUCCUUGCUGCCACCAUCACGGCCACUCGUUCCCCUCAGGCCACUGACAGGCUCGGGCCCGUCCCUCGCCCUCCUUUCUUCCUCUCUUCCUCUCUCCUCCACUCGCUCUUCCCCUUUGACUUUCUUCCCCUCCCUGAGUUAACAGAUCUUGUUCAUUUUGUUUCCUCAUCAAAUUCACAUAACCGCCACCUCCUUCUCCUGAAGGGGCUCUUUCCUCCCUCACAACCCUUCUCUUUGCAGACCCCUGCCCACUAUCCUAUUGUAUAUAUAGAUUCCUCUCUACAAUCAAGAACAUCUUCUGACCAGUAACAGUUGCAUUCCAAAUGACCUUAACCAUCACAGGCUCCUCCUCCCUAUCUGCAUAUGGAAUCCCCACUACCCAGUCACCACGGUGCCACAGGCUCCUCCCCCAUAUCUGAAUAACUCUGCCCAAUCACCAUGUUGCUUCUGCUCUCACAGGCUCCCCCUCCCUAUCUGCAUAUGGAAUCCUUACUGCCCAAUCAGGUGCUUCUGCUCACGAACUCUGGAGAGAGCUGCCAAACACAGGAUUAAUCAUGGGUGGAGGUCUGCCACAUCCUGUGCUUGCUGGUGAGCAGCAAGUGGAAGGUUGUAAACAACAUACUAAAUGCAAGCACGAAAUUUUCAUUAUUUCCCCAGCAGUCUAAUUUGUGAAGAAUGGCACAAAGAUCAUGGAGUGAUGAAUUGGAGCCUCCUCAGCGUUUGGAACGGAAGAGAGACUUGUUCAUGUGCCUAGCUCUUCAUAUGGAGAAGUCUCCAAUGUGCGUUGAUGAUCCAGAAGGAAAAUUCAACAAAACUGGGAUUGUAGUGUGUGAGUCAGACAAAUUACACAAAGUGGUGGUAAUGUGCUGUUCAACAGAAACCUUACAUGCUGUGCAACAAGUCAUAGUGAACAAUCACACCACUUUACACAAAUGUGUGAUCUAUUUAUCCAGAAAACCUUGCUCUGAAUGUACCAAACUUCUCAUUCAAGGGGAGGUUUCUUCAGUCUAUUACUGGCCAAGACAUCCAGAGUUAAAGGGACAGGAUAUCAAAGAAGACCUCAAAGAAGUUGACCGUUUGUUCCUAAGAAGUUCUGCAAAAAUCAGUGUUUUUCUGCCAUUCAUGAACAUUAUUAAUGGAAGUGAAUUAAUACAGAAGAUUACUGCUAGAACAAAUCGAUAUAUAUGCAAAGAGUGCAAGUUGGAAUAUAGUUGUGCUGUAAAAGAUAAGGAGCUUGAAAUCAUUGAAGAAACCUGUGGCCUGCUUAACUUGCAAAAUCUUGAGUUUUGUAGAAAUAAAAUGAAGGAUGCUUUAUGUUAUUAUACUGACUUAUUACAUUGUUCCCAUGGGACAUUUGAAGGAGCAGAAGGAACAAAAGAAGAAGAAAUGCUUCACGUGCUCCAGCUAUGUUUUAUUUUAGCAGCAAGAUCUGAAGCUGUCACCACAUGGACCAAGGGCAGGCAGGCAGUGGAUUUGGUCAUUGCUGUUGUGGGGCGGUGCCUGGUUACAAUCUGUGUUGGCAUGCAUCACUAGAUGGGUCAGAUGGGAGACACCUGACACUCAAACCCCAGUGGAAGCCCCCCCAAGCCCUGUCAGAGAUGAACAGCCAUCUGUGGAUGAACAGCCAUUUGUGGAUGAAACAAGAGAUGACACCGAAUAAUUCUGUUCAUUCAUCAAGUAAAGAGUCUGGGGAUGCUACAGCAAAGCUGAUGAUUGCUGUGGCAACAUCUGUCUUCAUGAGAAGCUAGAUAGCAAUAUCAUUCUUACUUAUAAUGUCAUGGAUAUUGAGGAAAAAAAUUACACCUUUCCUUUAGCCAUUUGACUAAACUCUGGCCUAGAAAUUAGUGGCUUACGUACUGCACAGCAGUGUUAAAAAUCUGUUGAAAGCAAUAACAGUUAAAAUGAUGGUUUUAUUCAGAAUUGCUUUAUUUAUUUUUUAAACAUUUCACCCAACAUAUUCCAGCGUAAAAAAUAGUUUGUUCGGCUAAUUUAAGUCGCAGGAUUGUGUAUGCAAUAUUUGGUAUCUGUAGGUAAUUGGGAAGUAUGAUUUUAUUUUGCAUAAACAAAUCCAAAAACAGAAUCCUCAAUAUAGAUAUAAGUAUAAUAUAUAUCAAUAUUAUAGUAUAUAGUAAAAUACCAAAGAAUAUUUAUAAAAUGAGAAUUAAGCUGAAGUGCAAUACUGUAUGAUAAAAGUGUGUUUAUGUGCAAGCAGGGAAUUGUUAAAGCAUCCCUGAUAGAUGGUCAUCCAAUCUCUGUUUGAAAACUGAUAAUCAGGAGAGUCCACUACUGUGUAAAGCAGACUAUUCAACAGGUCUUACAGUUAGGAAAUUCAUUGUAGAGGUGACCAUCUUAACAUGCAAAUUCCCUGCUUUUUGCAAUAGUGAAAAUUGUAAGCACCUUCUCUUAUCUUAAACCAAAGGGGUUUUAAACUUUAGAUAUAGAUAUAGAUAUAGAUGAUAUAGAUGUAAAUAUAGAUAUAGAUGAUAUAGAUAUAGAUAUAGCAGGGUAGUGCCUUCAGCAUUGUGGGGUCUGGUGCAAUAAUCCCCUGCUAACUGGGCCAAGAGGCACCAUUUAUAGUGCUAGCUGUGUUAUACUGUAUUUAGCAGGGGGAGAGCAGUUGGCCUCUUUCACUCCUAGCACAGCAUCCUUCCAGUGGGUAUUGCUGGUUACUACCUAAAAAAAAGAAAAGAAGAGAAAAGAAGAUUGUGAUCCCUUUGGAACAGGCAACUAUUUUCUUAGUAUUUUUAUUGAAAAGCAGAAUAUAAAUAAUCAUCAAUCACUGUCAGAAAAAGCUUCCUUAAAUCACAUACCAGAACUUAGUUCUGGUACUCCAUUGUGAACUAGCCUGACUUCAUGUUUGCCUUUCCUCUAUGUAUAUCCUUUGCCUCAUGAAACAGCCUGCUAAUUUAUCAAGAAACUCCUAUGUAAUCUGAUUGUUGAAAACAGCUGCAAGGGGAGAAUAGGCGAGACAUUAUGUAAAAUUGUUCAGCAGAAUCUGUGAGCAUCAAGUAAAUACCUUUCUAAUACUUGUGUCCAGUUGCCCACUGGAGUAUAAUGGCUGAGCUGAUUCUCAGACCUCAAAAGACCUGAUCCAUUUCCCCAACAUCCCGGCUGGAUAGUGCAUAAAUAAAUAGGUAGAUUCUUAAUUAACACACACUUUUCUGAGUUCUACUUGAUAUACCAGGAAAACACAAGUAUCUUCUUAUAUAAAGCUGAGAGAGCUUUUUUCUGUUGUUCCUGCUCCUGUAUUAGUUUAGAUUUACACAUAUGGUUAGAUUCUCAGCUGAGCCCAAGCUGCAUAGCUCCAGAGAGUAUGCAGACAGCUCUUCUGCCUGGAUGGGUGGAGGAAAGCUCCAUUCAUUAUGCAAGCUUUUAACUUCUGAACUUCAACCUAUUAACCCAAAUAUUUUAGCCUCCUGCUUAACACCAAGUAGGAAGAAAUGGUACCUUGUUUGUAUAUUUUGACUAUUUGCUUUGUUUGCCUGUAAACUCUCUUCCUUUUGUACUUGCCUAAAUAAACUAGAUUUUAAAUUACUUCAAACUUUGUGCUGGAAGUACUCACUUCCGCCUUUCCCAUGUUGCCUGCUCAGGCUUCAUGCUACUUGUAUUCUAUCCUUUAAGUUUUGUUG